This 253-nucleotide ribosomal RNA is filed under the name uncultured bacterium. Its description in RNAcentral is "partial 16S ribosomal RNA". It matches the Rfam family "Bacterial small subunit ribosomal RNA", at positions 524 to 776 of the family's 1533-position model. The record is from RNAcentral.
UACGAAGGGGGCUAGCGUUGUUCGGAAUCACUGGGCGUAAAGGGCGCGUAGGCGGCCAACUAAGUCGGACGUGAAAUCCCCAGGCUCAACCUGGGAACUGCGUCCGAUACUGGAUGGCUUGAAUUCGGGAGAGGGAUGCAGAAUUCCAGGUGUAGCGGUGAAAUGCGUAGAUAUCUGGAGGAAUACCGGUGGCGAAGGCGGCAUCCUGGACCGACAUUGACGCUGAUGAGCGAAAGCUAGGGGAGCAAACGGG